CUGUGGAAUAGCUUAUUAUUAAAGUUUGAGAUCUUACUCUUAGGAUGUGUGUUGACACUUUGCAGG
RNAcentral lists this transfer RNA (66 nucleotides) under Explanatum explanatum. RNAcentral describes it as "tRNA-Lys". Lineage: Eukaryota; Metazoa; Platyhelminthes; Trematoda; Plagiorchiida; Paramphistomidae. The record is from RNAcentral.